CCCCCCCCCCCCAACUAAAUAAGUGGGCCCGAAAGCAGCCACCUUUAAGAAAGCGUUAUAGCUCUAUUUACCAUAAAAAUUAAUUCCUACCCACACAUUAAACCCUUCAACCCUACUGAAUGAUCCUAUAAAAUAUAGGAACCCCAAUGCUAAAACUAGUAACAAGAAGUCGAACUUCUCCAAAAUACAAGCAUAAAUCAAAACGGACAAACCAUUGAUAAUUAACAUUUCCCUGACUUAAAUAUAGUAACAAAACAAGAAAACCCUACAAACCCUAAUGUUAACCUUACACAAGUGUAUUUCUGGAAAGAUUAAAAAAAAGGGAAGGAACUCGGCAAAUAGUAACCCCGCCUGUUUACCAAAAACACCGCCUCUUGACUCUUAUAAGAGGUCCAGCCUGCCCAGUGACAUAAUUAAACGGCCGCGGUACCCUGACCGUGCGAAGGUAGCAUAAUCACUUGUUCUCUAAAUAAGGACUUGUAUCAACGGCAUCACGAGGGUUAUACUGUCUCCCCUUUUUAAUCAGUGAAACUGACUUUCCCGUGAAGAGGCGGGAAUAAAAAUACAAGACGAGAAGACCCCAUGGAGCUUUAAACCCAAUAGUAACUUCUAUUCCAAUUACUUCUUAAUCAAGAAGGCCUAUCUAUUGGUUUUAGGUUGGGGUGACCCUGGAGUAUAACUAAACCUCCAUGACGAAUAGACCCUAUUCUAAUCUAAGAGCAACUGCUCUACGAAUCAAAAUUUUGACGUAAACUGAUCCGCUUAGCGAUCAACGAACCAAGUUACCCUGGGGAUAACAGCGCAAUCCAUUUCAAGAGCUCCUAUCGACAAAUGGGUUUACGACCUCGAUGUUGGAUCAGGGUAUCCCAGUGGUGCAGC
Molecule: ribosomal RNA, 879 nt
Filed under: Limnonectes macrognathus (Karin Hills wart frog)
Lineage: Eukaryota; Metazoa; Chordata; Amphibia; Anura; Dicroglossidae
Description: partial 16S ribosomal RNA
Rfam family: Bacterial large subunit ribosomal RNA
Source: RNAcentral